GUGUAGACGGUACAAACGGAAGAUCGCUCCUGCAAUUAUUAAUUAGUACCUAAAAACAAUCGAAGAAUCCGGUUGACUAAUUGCCUGAGUUUUCUUCUUCCUUUCGAGAUGCCGGAUAAGUGAUAAGAUGGCGAGUGUGCAACUUUAAGGAUGCUGUUUGAACGGUACCAUUGCGAUACACAGGGCGAUUUGUGUCGUGUCGGGAGUGCCGUGUAAAAUUGCGCGCGUCGGGAGUGCCGUAUAAAGUGUCGGGAGGAUCAUAAUUAUUCGUGUUUUCGCGAGUGUUGUGCGAGUGCUACGGCUACAAUAGACCAAGAGAGGAGGAGGAGGCCCGGUGAGGCAUCGGGCAACAGCGGGGCAACUGUAAGAUCGAUAUGCUGUGUACUCCGCUCCACAACUGUGAUAUUGCACGUAUCGAUCAACCUAGGCCUAUAACUUUAUUGCUGUUGCUCAUCAUAUCGGUACUCCAUAACUACUGGAAGGCUUUCCAUUACCAUUGUUUCUACCAGAAGAACCACCUCCAUGGUUUCCAUUCGCGCCAGGAACACCGUAGUUAGUCGAGGGUCUUUCUCCAUUACCUCGAUUCCUAAAACCGUCUCCGUUGUUCGCAUUCGUAUCAGGGGAAUCAGAAGAAAGGCUUUAAUGCCGUGAUCGACGCGUUAAGAUGCUGUUGACGUGCACGUGAAAUGUCCUCCAAUUAUAGGAAGCCUAAACAUCGCGGCUUCUCCGUCCGCGCGUAGAGCUGAUGCAACAAACCCGCGUGACGCAAACUUGCAUAAUGUAUCUCUGUCUCAUCUAGCUUACCGCGCUGC
Nylanderia fulva is the source of this 812-nucleotide non-coding RNA. The record is from RefSeq and is a predicted model, not a curated record. NCBI's taxonomy places the organism in Eukaryota, Metazoa, Arthropoda, Insecta, Hymenoptera, Formicidae.